RNAcentral lists this ribosomal RNA (676 nucleotides) under uncultured bacterium. RNAcentral's name for it is "bacterial SSU rRNA". It matches the Rfam family "Bacterial small subunit ribosomal RNA", at positions 827 to 1501 of the family's 1533-position model. The record is from RNAcentral.
CCGUAUCGACCCGGUCAGUAUCGAAGCAAACGCGUUAAGUGUCCCGCCUGGGGAGUACGCACGCAAGUGUGAAACUCAAAGGAAUUGACGGGGGCCCGCACAAGCGGUGGAGUAUGUGGUUUAAUUCGAUGCAACGCGAAGAACCUUACCAGGGAUUGACAUCCUACGAAUCUUCUUGAAAGGGAAGAGUGCCUUCGGGAACGUAGAGACAGGUGGUGCAUGGCUGUCGUCAGCUCGUGUCGUGAGAUGUUGGGUUAAGUCCCGCAACGAGCGCAACCCUCGUCCUUAGUUGCCAUCAUUAAGUUGGGCACUUUAAGGAGACUGCCGGUGACAAACCGGAGGAAGGUGGGGAUGACGUCAAGUCAUCAUGCCCCUUACAUCCUGGGCUACACACGUACUACAAUGCAACGGACAAAGGGCAGCCAACUAGCGAUAGUGCGCAAAUCCCAUAAACCGUUGCUCAGUUCAGAUUGCAGGCUGCAACUCGCCUGCAUGAAGGCGGAAUCGCUAGUAAUCGCAGGUCAGCAUACUGCGGUGAAUACGUUCCCGGGCCUUGUACACACCGCCCGUCACACCAUGGAAGUUGGCCACGCCCGAAGUCGUUACCCCAACCGUUUACGGAGGGGGACGCCGAAGGCAGGGCUGAUGACUGGGGUGAAGUCGUAACAAGGUAACC